Molecule: long non-coding RNA, 182 nt
Organism: Drosophila pseudoobscura
Lineage: Eukaryota; Metazoa; Arthropoda; Insecta; Diptera; Drosophilidae
Exons: 2
Source: RefSeq, a predicted model, not a curated record
GACAGGAAAGUAGCAGUUGGAUUCAAAAAUCCAAAAGAGGAAUCAGAGGUUCGUCGGGCGCCGAGGAUAUCCCCAAGUCGUUCAUUGCGACAACGGGACGAACUUCGUCGGAGCGAGCCGCCAUCUCAGCGCUCUGCGGAUCAGGCUCAAGGAGCAGGGAGACGCAAUUCGCGACUUUGCGU